UUUCUAUCUGUUACUAAGACUGUUGUUUAAUUAUUUCAAGAGAUUAGUUUUGGUUUUUGAAUUUAGCUUUCCCAAGUGUAUCAGAUAUUGGAAUAAUAUUCACCAAUUAUAUUGGAUAAAAGUGAUGAAAGACGAUUCUGUACUUAUUUUUCUCGUAUGUUUCAUGUUGAUGCUUUUGUCUACUAAAUGUUGAACCCUUGACGAGUUACUAUUUCUAGUUUAUUUUAGUCUUGCUUGUUGCAUAAAGAAAGUCGAUGGAUAUUUUACUCUAUGCUUGCUGCUGUCGUCGUGUAAAUAUAUAAUAGGUGUACAGAUAAUAAGCAAGUAGAAACACACACAAAGAGUACAAAACAUUCUUAGCAGCACUCCGGAAUUUAAAUACAAUAAUGUAAGAAUAUGAUACUACAUAUAAACUUAAAACUUAAUUAUAUGUUUUACAUAUAUCUUGGCANUAUAAAAUGAACAGGAUAAAAAUUGUGAUUUACUUGGAGGCGGCAGUUUCGGGUUGCGGGUUUGAGAUGUGCAAUGUGCUCUUUAGUUAAUUCUGUUAAAAUGAAUGUAUUGUAUAUAAAGAAGACAAAAUUGAUAAGAGUCAUCAAAUUUAGCUGAUUGAUCUGUGUAGUACCAAAUCUGAAAACAGUAUACAUAUACUAAUUUUUUUUUUAAUUUGUCUCCCUUCUUAUCUCUUCUUAUCUCUUCUCUGUUUUCUUCAUAUCUAUCCCCUCCUUUCUUUACCUCUUCAUCAAUAAUAGCUGAAAGAUGUGUGUGUGGUAAUUGGUUGGUAGCAAAAACGGCUUGGACUGAAUCCCAAGAACCAAUACGGAUGAACCAGCAUUGUCGCUCGAUUUCACAUCUCCUACAUCAUUUACGCUUGAACCACUCCUUAAUCGUCCUCUCAUUGUUGAUCGUUGUUGAUUUUAGGUUUACGGGGUACUGGUGUAGUGGUGUGAGUAACGGGGUUUGUAGUGUGUGGGUGUGAGGAAGACAAAACUUAAAGGGGAUGGGGGAAUUGGAGGGAAUUAGGGAUUUUACGUUUGUUUAUUCAAUUAAAUUAAUUAAACAUAAAAUAAAGGGUGAAUGGUCAAGACUACCCUUAAAUUUUAACGUUAACGGGGCAAGUUGAGUCAACUUUAACAGAAACGGGUGGGAAGGGUUCGAAUUGACGCGCUUUUCAAACCAGCGGGGUGCAUACUGCAAUUAUUCAAAGUAUACGCCUUAAAUGACUUUUCGGAAUACCAGCGGGGUGCAAAACGCAAUAAACUCUUUUGAAUAUAGAAAAAUGGAAUUUAGCAGAAAACAAAUUAUAAUAAUUAGGGCAUUUUGUUGGUGGUUGCUCAUUUAAGGGGUGGCGUUAUGGUGCAGGUAUCACUUGUUCAGGGAUGAUGAUAUCUUGGGAACUCUCCAUGAUUGAUUGAUGAUCAGUUUGGAUUUUCUAAGUGAGGACUGUGUUAAUGUUAAUCUUCUGAGGUUUCUAUCUGUUACUAAGACUGUUGUUUAAUUAUUUCAAGAGAUUAGUUUUGGUUUUUGAAUUUAGCUUUCCCAAGUGUAUCAGAUAUUGGAAUAAUAUUCACCAAUUAUAUUGGAUAAAAGUGAUGAAAGACGAUUCUGUACUUAUUUUUCUCGUAUGUUUCAUGUUGAUGCUUUUGUCUACUAAAUGUUGAACCCUUGACGAGUUACUAUUUCU
Molecule: long non-coding RNA, 1684 nt
Filed under: Daucus carota (carrot)
Lineage: Eukaryota; Viridiplantae; Streptophyta; Magnoliopsida; Apiales; Apiaceae
Description: long non-coding RNA (DCAR_LNC001450)
Source: RNAcentral